Molecule: ribosomal RNA, 460 nt
Filed under: uncultured bacterium
Lineage: Bacteria
Description: partial 16S ribosomal RNA
Rfam family: Bacterial small subunit ribosomal RNA
Source: RNAcentral
CCUACGGGGGACUGCAGUGAGGAAUAUUGGUCAAUGGACGAGAGUCUGAACCAGCCAAGUAGCGUGAAGGAUGACUGCCCUAUGGGUUGUAAACUUCUUUUAUAUGGGAAUAAAAUGUUCCACGUGUGGGAUUUUGUAUGUACCAUAUGAAUAAGGAUCGGCUAACUCCGUGCCAGCAGCCGCGGUAAUACGGAGGAUCCGAGCGUUAUCCGGAUUUAUUGGGUUUAAAGGGAGCGUAGGUGGAUUGUUAAGUCAUUUGUGAAAGUUUGCGGCUCAACCGUAAAAUUGCAGUUGAAACUGGCAGUCUUGAGUACAGUAGAGGUGGGCGGAAUUCGUGGUGUAGCGGUGAAAUGCUUAGAUAUCACGAAGAACUCCGAUUGCGAAGGCAGUUCACUGGACUGCAACUGACACUGAGGCUCGAAAGUGUGGGUAUCAAACAGGAUUAGAUACCCUUGUAGUC